GAUGAACGCUGGCGGCGUGCCUAAUACAUGCAAGUCGAGCGAACAGACGAGGAGCUUGCUCCUCUGACGUUAGCGGCGGACGGGUGAGUAACACGUGGAUAACCUACCUAUAAGACUGGGAUAACUUCGGGAAACCGGAGCUAAUACCGGAUAAUAUAUUGAACCGCAUGGUUCAAUAGUGAAAGACGGUUUUGCUGUCACUUAUAGAUGGAUCCGCGCCGCAUUAGCUAGUUGGUAAGGUAACGGCUUACCAAGGCAACGAUGCGUAGCCGACCUGAGAGAGUGAUCGGCCACACUAGAACUGAGACACGGUCCAGACUCCUGCGAGAGGCAGCAGUAGGGAAUCUUCCGCAAUGGGCGAAAGCUUGACGGAGCAACGCCGCGUGAGUGAUGAAGGUCUUCGGAUCGUAAAACUCUGUUAUUAGGGAAGAACAAAUGUGUAAGUAACUAUGCACGUCUUGACGGUACCUAGUCAGAAAGCCACGGCUAACUACGUG
RNAcentral lists this ribosomal RNA (497 nucleotides) under uncultured bacterium. Its description in RNAcentral is "partial 16S ribosomal RNA". It matches the Rfam family "Bacterial small subunit ribosomal RNA", at positions 28 to 507 of the family's 1533-position model. The record is from RNAcentral.